GAUGAAGAACGUAGCGAAAUGCGAUAAGUAGUGUGAAUUGCAGAAUUCAGUGAAUCAUCGAAUCUUUGAACGCACAUUGCGCCCUUUGGUAUUCCAAAGGGCAUGCCUGUUCGAGCGUCAUUUGUACCCUCAAGCUUUGCUUGGUGUUGGGCGUCUUGUCUCCAGUUCGCUGGAGACUCGCCUUAAAGUAAUUGGCAGCCGGCCUACUGGUUUCGGAGCGCAGCACAAGUCGCGCUCUCUUCCAGCCAAGGUCAGCAUCCACAAAGCCUUUUUUCAGCUUUUGACCUCGGAUCAGGUAGGGAUACCCGCUGAACUUAAGCAUAUCAAUAAGCGGAGGA
Molecule: unclassified non-coding RNA, 338 nt
Filed under: soil metagenome
Description: partial contains 5.8S ribosomal RNA, internal transcribed spacer 2, and large subunit ribosomal RNA
Rfam family: 5.8S ribosomal RNA (bases 1-120)
Source: RNAcentral